This 72-nucleotide transfer RNA is filed under the name Solirubrobacterales bacterium. RNAcentral describes it as "tRNA-Gly". It matches the Rfam family "tRNA". From Rfam's summary of the family: Transfer RNA (tRNA) molecules are approximately 80 nucleotides in length. Their secondary structure includes four short double-helical elements and three loops (D, anti-codon, and T loops). Lineage: Bacteria; Bacillati; Actinomycetota; Thermoleophilia; Solirubrobacterales. The record is from RNAcentral.
GCGGGCGAAGUGUCAACGGCUGCACGAGAGCUUCCCAAGCUCUAAGAACGGGUUCGAGCCCCGUCGCCCGCU